GACGAACGCUGGCGGCGUGCUUAACACAUGCAAGUCGAACGGAAAGGCCCUGCUUUUGUGGGGUGCUCGAUUGGCGAACGGGUGAGUAACACGUGUGUAACCUGCCCUUGACUUUGGGAUAACUUCAGGAAACUGGGGCUAAUACCGGAUAGGAGCUCCUGCUGCAUGGGGGGGGGUGGAAAGUUUCGGCGGUUGGGGAUGGACUCGCGGCUUAUCCGCUUGUUGGUGGGGUAGUGGCUUACCAAGGCUUCGACGGGUAGCCCGCCUGAGAGGGUGACCGGCCACAUUGGGACUGAGAGACGGCACAGACUGCUACGGGAGGCAGCAGUGGGGAAUAUUGCACAAGGAGCGGAAGCCUGAUGCAGAAACGCCGCGUGCGGGAUGACGGCCUUAGGGUUGUAAACCGCUUUCGCCUGUGACGAAGCGUGAGUGACGGUAAUGGGUAAAGAAGCACCGGCUAACUACGUG
Molecule: ribosomal RNA, 468 nt
Filed under: uncultured bacterium
Lineage: Bacteria
Description: partial 16S ribosomal RNA
Rfam family: Bacterial small subunit ribosomal RNA
Source: RNAcentral